Molecule: long non-coding RNA, 98 nt
Organism: Perognathus longimembris pacificus (Pacific pocket mouse)
Lineage: Eukaryota; Metazoa; Chordata; Mammalia; Rodentia; Heteromyidae
Exons: 3
Source: RefSeq, a predicted model, not a curated record
GGUUUGUUCUGGCCUUGAUGACACGCUGCCACUAUCGCCGAUUCUCGCUGCUGGGGAGCGCUUCGGUUACCCCACGCGGGAAGGGGCGCCAGGCUGAC